This 490-nucleotide ribosomal RNA is filed under the name uncultured bacterium. Its description in RNAcentral is "partial 16S ribosomal RNA". It matches the Rfam family "Bacterial small subunit ribosomal RNA", at positions 30 to 507 of the family's 1533-position model. The record is from RNAcentral.
AUUGAACGCUGGCGGCAUGCUUUACACAUGCAAGUCGGACGGCAGCACAGAGAAGCUUGCUUCUUGGGUGGCGAGUGGCGAACGGGUGAGUAAUAUAUCGGAACGUACCGAGUAAUGGGGGAUAACUAAUCGAAAGAUUAGCUAAUACCGCAUAUUCUCUGAGGAGGAAAGCAGGGGACCUUCGGGCCUUGCGUUAUUCGAGCGGCCGAUAUCUGAUUAGCUAGUUGGUGGGGUAAAGGCCUACCAAGGCGACGAUCAGUAGCGGGUCUGAGAGGAUGAUCCGCCACACUGGGACUGAGGCACGGCCCAGACUCCUACGGGAGGCAGCAGUGGGGAAUUUUGGACAAUGGGCGCAAGCCUGAUCCAGCCAUGCCGCGUGUCUGAAGAAGGCCUUCGGGUUGUAAAGGACUUUUGUCAGGGAAGAAAAGGCUGUUGCUAAUACCGACAGCUGAUGACGGUACCUGAAGAAUAAGCACCGGCUAACUACGUG